UUGGAUGGGUUAAUGUUGAAUGGCAUGUUAAUAAAUCACUUAUUGGAAGAAGUCUUACCAUUAUGCUUCAUGUGUAUAUUUAGAUGUCUGAGAAGAAAAAUUGUAUAUGUCAUUAUUAUCUAAAUUUGGAAGCUAGGUUACUGAUAAAUGCAUGCAUAUUUCUUAUAUUGAUUGAUACAUGUGUGUUCAUAUAUAUAAGUCAUAUACAAUUUUUACUGCUCAAGCAUCA
RNAcentral lists this long non-coding RNA (229 nucleotides) under Musa acuminata (dwarf banana). RNAcentral's name for it is "long non-coding RNA (MACU_LNC011237)". The record is from RNAcentral. Lineage: Eukaryota; Viridiplantae; Streptophyta; Magnoliopsida; Zingiberales; Musaceae.